UAUGUGAUCGUCUCUCGCAUAUCAAUAAGCGGAGGAAAAGAAACUAACAAGGAUUCCCCUAGUAACGGCGAGUGAAGCGGGAAGAGCUCAAAUUUGAAAUCUUAAAGGGUUUCCCUUUACGAAUUGUAGUUUAAAGAAGUGUUUUCUGUUGAGGUUUUGGUAAAAGUUCUUUGGAAUAGGACAUCAUAGAGGGUGAGAAUCCCGUAUUUGACCUUUACUUUCAACUUUGUGAUACACUAUCAAAGAGUCGGAUUGUUUGGGAAUGCAGUCCAAAAUGGGUGGUAAAUUUCAUCUAAAGCUAAAUAUUGGCGAGAGACCGAUAGCGAACAAGUACCGUGAGGGAAAGAUGAAAAGAACUCUGAAAAGAGAGUUAAACAGUACGUGAAAUUGUCAAAAGGGAAGCGUUUGACACCAGUGUUGUUUUUCUGAAAAUCAGUUAAAGAACUGUUUAUGCUAAGUUGUUUAGACUUUAUCAGCUAUCUGUUUAGUUUUGAGCCUUUCUUUAAUGCACUUUUCAGUUAACAAGUCAACAUCAAUUUCUUUUGCUGUAAAAAAGCUUGAGGAAGGUGGCUUGAGAUUCGUCUUAAGUGUUUAUAGCCUCUUGCCUAUGCAGUCGGAGAGAUUGAGGUCUGCAGCGUAGAUCCUUCGGGGCUAAAUGCAUUUGUGCUAAGUUAUAGCAUUUUAUAGACAACUUGUUGACUAUGAUUUGUCUUGUAGCUUACUCGCUUAUGUUAUUUUACCUACGCUUAGGAUGUUGAGUCGUAGAGCACGCAG
This 774-nucleotide ribosomal RNA is filed under the name uncultured Neocallimastigales. RNAcentral describes it as "partial large subunit ribosomal RNA". It matches the Rfam family "Eukaryotic large subunit ribosomal RNA", at positions 24 to 628 of the family's 3401-position model. Lineage: Eukaryota; Fungi; Neocallimastigomycota; Neocallimastigomycetes; Neocallimastigales. The record is from RNAcentral.